This 505-nucleotide ribosomal RNA is filed under the name uncultured Glomus. Its description in RNAcentral is "SSU rRNA". It matches the Rfam family "Eukaryotic small subunit ribosomal RNA", at positions 569 to 1078 of the family's 1831-position model. The record is from RNAcentral. Lineage: Eukaryota; Fungi; Glomeromycota; Glomeromycetes; Glomerales; Glomeraceae.
AGCAGCCGCGGUAAUUCCAGCUCCAAUAGCGUAUAUUAAAGUUGUUGCAGUUAAAAAGCUCGUAGUUGAAUUUCGGGAUUAGUACGUUGGUCGUGCCUUCGGUACGUACUGAUGUUACUGAUUCCUACCUUCUGACGAACCAUCAUGUCAUUAAUUUGGUGUGGCGGGGAAUCAGGACUGUUACUUUGAAAAAAUUAGAGUGUUUAAAGCAGGCUCGCGCUUGAAUACAUUAGCAUGGAAUAAUGAAAUAGGACGUUGACCCUAUUUUGUUGGUUUCUAGGAUUGACGUAAUGAUUAAUAGGGAUAGUUGGGGGCAUUAGUAUUCAAUUGUCAGAGGUGAAAUUCUUGGAUUUAUUGAAGACUAACUACUGCGAAAGCAUUUGCCAAGGAUGUUUUCAUUAAUCAAGAACGAAAGUUAGGGGAUCGAAGACGAUCAGAUACCGUCGUAGUCUUAACCAUAAACUAUGCCGACUAGGGAUCGGAUGAUGUUAUUUUUAAUGACUCA